This 366-nucleotide long non-coding RNA is filed under the name Mus musculus (house mouse). Its description in RNAcentral is "long non-coding RNA chr2:32892801-32893167". The record is from RNAcentral. Lineage: Eukaryota; Metazoa; Chordata; Mammalia; Rodentia; Muridae.
GGACAGUGGUGUUACAGGCAUCGGCAGAUACAUGGUAGUGGUGUGUGGUCCCUUCAGUCGUUUCCUGUUGGGGCUGAAGUAACUGGAAUUUUCUAUUUAUUGGUUCCUAUCGGAGCAGCAUUGGCAUUUACGGGCUCUCCCUGUCAGACAGACAGGGAGGGUGCCAAGUGCUCCUGGCACAUCUUACUGGGUCCUUGCAACUUUUAUUGUUGUUGAGACAGGGUUUUUGUGAUGUAGCCCAGGCUGACCUUGGAUUCCUAAUUUUCCAGCCCCAAUCUUUCUGGUGCUGAGAUUAUAAUCUUACCAGUGAUGCACCUGGCUUAGGUGGGUCAUUUAAAAAAAUUAUUAAAAGAAAUUUUUUUUGAG